GUGUCACGUGGUAUAACCUCAUAAUAAUUUUCUCUUUUUGAAGACCCAGGAUUCAUGAUCAGAGAUCCAGUUAAAAGGGUGUCUUGCAUCUCAAAACAUCUGGAACAUCUCUACGAACUGAAUUCAGAUUGUCUGGGACAAGCCUUACUCUCCUGGCCUACCACCAGCAGCUACAUGCUGGGGGGAAUUGCAUGGGAACUGGGAAGGUCCCACUGCUCUCUGCUGGGCUGCAAAACCUGGGUCACUCCUCUUCCCCUAAGCAAGGUCUGUGACGUAGGAGAGAUGUUUCUGUCCCUCCCUGGAGAGUUGUCCAAGUAGUCUGAAUGCUGCCCCUGGACCAUAACCAAAGUUGCCCCCUUCUCACAAGUCAGAGAGCCUUGUCGCAGGCUUGCUAACCCACUCCCAGCUAGCUUUGCAACCUCCAGCCUCCUUGGCAGGAUAGCACAAAACAGGAAACACUGGAAGCCUCAUAGCCCCGCCUAUUGCACAAGAUACUCUGGUAAUUCCCCUGAUGACCAGUAGCCAACCAAAAUUCUGCUACCACCCCCACAAAUGCCUUUAGCCUGCAAGAACCACUGACUUGCUAAGAGGUUAACCUGCAUGGCCCAUUAAACUGCUGACACCAUUUACAGUGCUUGGGAGACUCUUAUCCACAAGUGUCAAUUACUGGCCUGAAGGGUAAACUGCACGGCUCAAUAUAAUUCCUGCUUCCCGAAGUGCACCGAACCGAAAAACGAGAGUAGCCUCCCAAGAGCUCCACCCUCUCAUCUCUGCAGAAGACAGUGCAUCUGCUUGCAUACACAACACACCACUACUACAACCUACAAAUAGCACUGGAGAAAACCACUACACUAAAGCUAUUUAUCACCAAGGAAUUAAUCAAAAGCUUUGGCCUCAUAAGGCACUAACAAGCAAAGCCAAAGGACCCUACUCAACAUAAGCAAAGGUCUUACCCUCAAUGGGGAAAAAUUUCCACAGAACUGAAAGUGAAUUCCAAAAUAAAUAGUGACAGCUUCUUCAUAUAAAAAGGACAUAGCAUAAGAACUCCAACACCAUGAAGAAACAGUGUGUUGUGAUACCUCCAGUGGAACAUAUGAGCUCUCUAGCAAUGGAUCUUAACUGCAAUGAAACUUUUGAAAUGAAAGGUAAAGCAUUGAAAAUAUAGAUUUUAA
Molecule: long non-coding RNA, 1172 nt
Filed under: Homo sapiens (human)
Lineage: Eukaryota; Metazoa; Chordata; Mammalia; Primates; Hominidae
Description: HSALNT0407665
Source: RNAcentral